ACUAGCUAGUUUGCCCUGGGGAUCCUGUCUCUGAAUCCUAAGUGCUAGGGUUAUGGGCAGCUGCCACAUCUGCCUGGCUUCCGGGGGUGGGGUUCU
RNAcentral lists this microRNA precursor (96 nucleotides) under Cricetulus griseus (Chinese hamster). RNAcentral describes it as "miRNA (ENSCGRG00001002002.1)". Lineage: Eukaryota; Metazoa; Chordata; Mammalia; Rodentia; Cricetidae. The record is from RNAcentral.